RNAcentral lists this ribosomal RNA (621 nucleotides) under uncultured Gammaproteobacteria bacterium. Its description in RNAcentral is "partial 16S ribosomal RNA". It matches the Rfam family "Bacterial small subunit ribosomal RNA", at positions 1 to 887 of the family's 1533-position model. The record is from RNAcentral. Lineage: Bacteria; Pseudomonadati; Pseudomonadota; Gammaproteobacteria.
CGUCGCAUGCUCCCGGCCGCCAUGGCGGCCGCGGGAAUUCGAUUAGAGUUUGAUCAUGGCUCAGAUUGAACGCUGGCGGCAGGCCUAACACAUGCAAGUCGAGCGGUAGAGAGAAGCUUGCUUCUCUUGAGAGCGGCGGACGGGUGAGUAAUGCCUAGGAAUCUGCCUGGUAGUGGGGGAUAACGUUCGGAAACGGACGCUAAUACCGCAUACGUCCUACGGGAGAAAGCAGGGGACCUUCGGGCCUUGCGCUAUCAGAUGAGCCUAGGUCGGAUUAGCUAGUUGGUGGGGUAAUGGCUCACCAAGGCGACGAUCCGUAACUGGUCUGAGAGGAUGAUCAGUCACACUGGAACUGAGACACGGUCCAGACUCCUACGGGAGGCAGCAGUGGGGAAUAUUGGACAAUGGGCGAAAGCCUGAUCCAGCCAUGCCGCGUGUGUGAAGAAGGUCUUCGGAUUGUAAAGCACUUUAAGUUGGGAGGAAGGGCAGUAAAUUAAUACUUUGCUGUUUUGACGUUACCGACAGAAUAAGCACCGGCUAACUCUGUGCCAGCAGCCGCGGUAAUACGAAUCACUAGUGAAUUCGCGGCCGCCUGCAGGUCGACCAUAUGGGAGAGCUCCC